RNAcentral lists this ribosomal RNA (705 nucleotides) under Escherichia coli. RNAcentral's name for it is "partial 23S ribosomal RNA". It matches the Rfam family "Bacterial large subunit ribosomal RNA", at positions 488 to 1194 of the family's 2925-position model. Lineage: Bacteria; Pseudomonadati; Pseudomonadota; Gammaproteobacteria; Enterobacterales; Enterobacteriaceae. The record is from RNAcentral.
UAGUGAACCAGUACCGUGAGGGAAAGGCGAAAAGAACCCCGGCGAGGGGAGUGAAAAAGAACCUGAAACCGUGUACGUACAAGCAGUGGGAGCACGCUUAGGCGUGUGACUGCGUACCUUUUGUAUAAUGGGUCAGCGACUUAUAUUCUGUAGCAAGGUUAACCGAAUAGGGGAGCCGAAGGGAAACCGAGUCUUAACUGGGCGUUAAGUUGCAGGGUAUAGACCCGAAACCCGGUGAUCUAGCCAUGGGCAGGUUGAAGGUUGGGUAACACUAACUGGAGGACCGAACCGACUAAUGUUGAAAAAUUAGCGGAUGACUUGUGGCUGGGGGUGAAAGGCCAAUCAAACCGGGAGAUAGCUGGUUCUCCCCGAAAGCUAUUUAGGUAGCGCCUCGUGAAUUCAUCUCCGGGGGUAGAGCACUGUUUCGGCAAGGGGGUCAUCCCGACUUACCAACCCGAUGCAAACUGCGAAUACCGGAGAAUGUUAUCACGGGAGACACACGGCGGGUGCUAACGUCCGUCGUGAAGAGGGAAACAACCCAGACCGCCAGCUAAGGUCCCAAAGUCAUGGUUAAGUGGGAAACGAUGUGGGAAGGCCCAGACAGCCAGGAUGUUGGCUUAGAAGCAGCCAUCAUUUAAAGAAAGCGUAAUAGCUCACUGGUCGAGUCGGCCUGCGCGGAAGAUGUAACGGGGCUAAACCAUGCAC